RNAcentral lists this long non-coding RNA (271 nucleotides) under Homo sapiens (human). RNAcentral's name for it is "HSALNT0260146". Lineage: Eukaryota; Metazoa; Chordata; Mammalia; Primates; Hominidae. The record is from RNAcentral.
CCCUUUCCCCUGGCUGGCAGCGCGGAGGCCGCACGAUGCCUGGAGUUACUGUAAAAGACGUGAACCAGCAGGAGUUCGUCAGAGCUCUGGCAGCCUUCCUCAAAAAGUCUUAGGUCCGGGAAGCUGAAAGUCCCCGAAUGGGUGGAUACCGUCAAGCUGGCCAAGCACAAAGAGCUUGCUCCCUACGAUGAGAACUGGUUCUACACGCGAGCUGCUUCCACAGCGCGGCACCUGUACCUCCGGGGUGGCGCUGGGGUUGGCUCCAUGACCA